Molecule: ribosomal RNA, 554 nt
Filed under: uncultured bacterium
Lineage: Bacteria
Description: partial 16S ribosomal RNA
Rfam family: Bacterial small subunit ribosomal RNA
Source: RNAcentral
UGGGGAAUUUUGGACAAUGGGGGAAACCCUGAUCCAGCCAUCCCGCGUGUGCGAUGAAGGCCUUCGGGUUGUAAAGCACUUUUGGCAGGAAAGAAACGUCGCGGGUUAAUACCCCGCGAAACUGACGGUACCUGCAGAAUAAGCACCGGCUAACUACGUGCCAGCAGCCGCGGUAAUACGUAGGGUGCAAGCGUUAAUCGGAAUUACUGGGCGUAAAGCGUGCGCAGGCGGUUCGGAAAGAAAGAUGUGAAAUCCCAGAGCUUAACUUUGGAACUGCAUUUUUAACUACCGGGCUAGAGUGUGUCAGAGGGAGGUGGAAUUCCGCGUGUAGCAGUGAAAUGCGUAGAUAUGCGGAGGAACACCGAUGGCGAAGGCAGCCUCCUGGGAUAACACUGACGCUCAUGCACGAAAGCGUGGGGAGCAAACAGGAUUAGAUACCCUGGUAGUCCACGCCCUAAACGAUGUCAACUAGCUGUUGGGGCCUUCGGGCCUUGGUAGCGCAGCUAACGCGUGAAGUUGACCGCCUGGGGAGUACGGUCGCAAGAUUAAAACUA